RNAcentral lists this ribosomal RNA (468 nucleotides) under uncultured bacterium. RNAcentral's name for it is "partial 16S ribosomal RNA". It matches the Rfam family "Bacterial small subunit ribosomal RNA", at positions 28 to 507 of the family's 1533-position model. The record is from RNAcentral.
GACGAACGCUGGCGGCGUGCUUAACACAUGCAAGUCGAACGGAAAGGCCCUGCUUUUGUGGGGUGCUCGAGUGGCGAACUGGUGAGUAACACGUUAGUAACCUGCCCUUGACUUUGGGAUAACUUCAUGAAACUUGGGCUAAUACCGGAUAGGAGCUCCUGCUGCAUGGUGGGGGUUGGAAAGUUUCGGCGGUUGGGGAUGGACUCGCGGCUUAUCAGCUUGUUGGUGGGGUAGUGGCUUACCAAGGCUUUGACGGGUAGCCGGCCUGAGAGGGUGACCGGCCAAAUUGGGACUGAGAUACGGCCCAGACUCCUACGGGAGGCAGCAGUGGGGAAUAUUGCACAAUGGGCGGAAGCCUGAUGCAGCAACGCCGCGUGCGGGAUGACGGCCUUCGGGUUGAAAACCGCUUUCGCCUGUGACGAAGCGUGAGUGACGGUAAUGGGUAAAGAAGCACCGGCUAACUACGUG